CGGGAGUAACGCGUGGGCAACCUGCCUCAUACAGGGGAGUAACAGUUAGAAAUGACUGCUAAUACCGCAUAAGCGCACAGCAUCGCAUGAUGCCGUGUGAAAAACUCCGGUGGUAUGAGAUGGACCCGCGUCUGAUUAGGUAGUUGGUGGGGUAACGGCCUACCAAGCCGACGAUCAGUAGCCGACCUGAGAGGGUGACCGGCCACAUUGGGACUGAGACACGGCCCAA
RNAcentral lists this ribosomal RNA (229 nucleotides) under uncultured bacterium. Its description in RNAcentral is "partial 16S ribosomal RNA". It matches the Rfam family "Bacterial small subunit ribosomal RNA", at positions 106 to 334 of the family's 1533-position model. The record is from RNAcentral.